GUUCCUGUCCAACGUUAAUCGGGGCAGGGUGAGUCGACCCCUAAGGCGAGGCCGAAAGGCGUAGUCGAUGGGAAACAGGUUAAUAUUCCUGUACUUGGUGUUACUGCGAAGGGGGGACGGAGAAGGCUAUGUUGGCCGGGCGACGGUUGUCCCGGUUUAAGCGUGUAGGCUGAUUUUCCAGGCAAAUCCGGAAAAUCAAGGCUGAGGCGUGAUGACGAGGCACUACGGUGCUGAAGCAACAAAUGCCCUGCUUCCAGGAAAAGCCUCUAAGCAUCAGGUAACAUCAAAUCGUACCCCAAACCGACACAGGUGGUCAGGUAGAGAAUACCAAGGCGCUUGAGAGAACUCGGGUGAAGGAACUAGGCAAAAUGGUGCCGUAACUUCGGGAGAAGGCACGCUGAUAUGUAGGUGAAGCGACUUGCUCGUGGAGCUGAAAUCAGUCGAAGAUACCAGCUGGCUGCAACUGUUUAUUAAAAACACAGCACUGUGCAAACACGAAAGUGGACGUAUACGGUGUGACGCCUGCCCGGUGCCGGAAGGUUAAUUGAUGGGGUUAGCGGUAACGCGAAGCUCUUGAUCGAAGCCCCGGUAAACGGCGGCCGUAACUAUAACGGUCCUAAGGUAGCGAAAUUCCUUGUCGGGUAAGUUCCGACCUGCACGAAUGGCGUAAUGAUGGCCAGGCUGUCUCCACCCGAGACUCAGUGAAAUUGAACUCGCUGUGAAGAUGCAGUGUACCCGCGGCAAGACGGAAAGACCCCGUGAACCUUUACUAUAGCUUGACACUGAACAUUGAGCCUUGAUGUGUAGGAUAGGUGGGAGGCUUUGAAGUGUGGACGCCAGUCUGCAUGGAGCCGACCUUGAAAUACCACCCUUUAAUGUUUGAUGUUCUAACGUUGGCCCGUUAUCCGGGUUGCGGACAGUGUCUGGUGGGUAGUUUGACUGGGGCGGUCUCCUCCUAAAGAGUAACGGAGGAGCACGAAGGUUGGCUAAUCCUGGUCGGACAUCAGGAGGUUAGUGCAAUGGCAUAAGCCAGCUUGACUGCGAGCGUGACGGCGCGAGCAGGUGCGAAAGCAGGUCAUAGUGAUCCGGUGGUUCUGAAUGGAAGGGCCAUCGCUCAACGGAUAAAAGGUACUCCGGGGAUAACAGGCUGAUACCGCCCAAGAGUUCAUAUCGACGGCGGUGUUUGGCACCUCGAUGUCGGCUCAUCACAUCCUGGGGCUGAAGUAGGUCCCAAGGGUAUGGCUGUUCGCCAUUUAAAGUGGUACGCGAGCUGGGUUUAGAACGUCGUGAGACAGUUCGGUCCCUAUCUGCCGUGGGCGCUGGAGAACUGAGGGGGGCUGCUCCUAGUACGAGAGGACCGGAGUGGACGCAUCACUGGUGUUCGGGUUGUCAUGCCAAUGGCACUGCCCGGUAGCUAAAUGCGGAAGAGAUAAGUGCUGAAAGCAUCUAAGCACGAAACUUGCCCCGAGAUGAGUUCUCCCUGACUCCUUGAGAGUCCUGAAGGAACGUUGAAGACGACGACGUUGAUAGGCCGGGUGUGUAAGCGCAGCGAUGCGUUGAGCUAACCGGUACUAAUGAACCGUGAG
This 1586-nucleotide ribosomal RNA is filed under the name Escherichia coli. RNAcentral describes it as "partial 23S ribosomal RNA". It matches the Rfam family "Bacterial large subunit ribosomal RNA", at positions 1351 to 2915 of the family's 2925-position model. Lineage: Bacteria; Pseudomonadati; Pseudomonadota; Gammaproteobacteria; Enterobacterales; Enterobacteriaceae. The record is from RNAcentral.